This 497-nucleotide ribosomal RNA is filed under the name uncultured bacterium. RNAcentral describes it as "partial 16S ribosomal RNA". It matches the Rfam family "Bacterial small subunit ribosomal RNA", at positions 28 to 507 of the family's 1533-position model. The record is from RNAcentral.
GACGAACGCUGGCGGCGUGCCUAAUACAUGCAAGUUGAGCGAUGAAGGGUGGUACUUGUACCAACGGGGUGAGCAGCGAACGGGUGAGUAACGCGUGGGGAAUCUGCCUUUAAGCGGGGGACAACAUUGGGAAACGAAAGCUAAUACCGCAUAAAAAAUUUAAACACAAGGUUUAAGAUUGAAAGAUGGAAUUGCAUCAAUCAAAGGUGAUAUCCGGUUGGAUUAGCUAAGUGGGUAAGGAAAGGCUCAACAAGGCGAUGAUACAUAACCGAACUGAGGGGGUGAUUCGCCACAUUGGGACUGAGACACCGCUCAAGCUCCUUCGGGAGGCAGCAGUAGGGAAUCCUCGGGCAUGGACGAAAGUCUUACCGGGCAACCGCGCGGUAGUGAAGAAGGUUUUCGGAUCGUUAAACUUUGUUUAUAGAGAAGAACGUUGGUGAGAGUUGACUGCUCAUCAAUUGACGGUACCUACCCAGAAAGGCACGGCUAACUACGUG